UUUCCGGUUGAUCCCGCCGGACCUGACUGCUAUCGGAUUGAUACUAAGCCAUGCGAGUCUUUGCAGUAAUGCAAGGCAUACGGCUCAGUAACACGUAGUCAACUUACCCUAUGGACGAGGAUAAUCUCGGGAAACUGAGCAUAAUACUCGAUAGAUCAUAAUGCCUGGAAUGGUUUAUGGUUGAAAUGAUUCAUCGCCAUAGGAUGGGACUGCGGCCUAUCAGCUUGUUGGUGAGGUAAUGGCCCACCAAGGCGAUUACAGGUACGGGCUCUGAGAGGAGAAGCCCGGAGAUGGGUACUGAGACAAGGACCCAGGCCCUAUGGGGCGCAGCAGGCGAGAAAACUUUGCAAUGUGCGAAAGCACGACAAGGUUAAUCCGAGUGAUUUCUGCUAAAGAAAUCUUUUGCAAGUCAUAAAACCACUAGUGAAUAAGGGGUGGGCAAGUUCUGGUGUCAGCCGCCGCGGUAAAACCAGCACCUCAAGUGGUCAGGAGGAUUAUUGGGCCUAAAGCAUCCGUAGCCGGCUCUGUAAGUUUUCGGUUAAAUCCAUGUGCUCAACGCAUGGGCUGCCGAAAAUACUGCAUAGCUAGGGAGUGGGAGAGGUAGACGGUACUCGGUAGGAAGGGGUAAAAUCCUUUGAUCUAUCGAUGACCACCUGUGGCGAAGGCGGUCUACCAGAACACGUUCGACGGUGAGGGAUGAAAGCUGGGGGAGCAAACCGGAUUAGAUACCCGGGUAGUCCCAGCUGUAAACGAUGCAGACUCGAUGAUGCAUUGGCAUAUAGCCAGUGCAGUGUCGCAGGGAAGCCGUUAAGUCUGCCGCCUGGGAAGUACGUACGCAAGUAUGAAACUUAAAGGAAUUGGCGGGGGAGCACCACAAGGGGUGAAGCCUGCGGUUCAAUUGGAUUCAACGCCGGGA
Molecule: ribosomal RNA, 916 nt
Filed under: uncultured archaeon
Lineage: Archaea
Description: SSU rRNA
Rfam family: Archaeal small subunit ribosomal RNA
Source: RNAcentral